RNAcentral lists this ribosomal RNA (427 nucleotides) under uncultured bacterium. Its description in RNAcentral is "partial 16S ribosomal RNA". It matches the Rfam family "Bacterial small subunit ribosomal RNA", at positions 355 to 774 of the family's 1533-position model. The record is from RNAcentral.
UGGGGAAUAUUGGACAAUGGGCGAAAGCCUGAUCCAGCCAUGCCGCGUGUGUGAAGAAGGUCUUCGGAUUGUAAAGCACUUUAAGUUGGGAGGAAGGGCAUUAACCUAAUACGUUAGUGUUUUGACGUUACCGACAGAAUAAGCACCGGCUAACUCUGUGCCAGCAGCCGCGGUAAUACAGAGGGUGCAAGCGUUGAUCGGAAUUACUGGGCGUAAAGCGCGCGUAGGUGGUUUGUUAAGUUGGAUGUGAAAUCCCCGGGCUCAACCUGGGAACUGCAUUCAAAACUGACUGACUAGAGUAUGGUAGAGGGUGGUGGAAUUUCCUGUGUAGCGGUGAAAUGCGUAGAUAUAGGAAGGAACACCAUUGGCGAAGGCGACCACCUGGACUAAUACUGACACUGAGGUGCGAAAGCGUGGGGAGCAAACA